UACGAUUCCAGGUAAAGUCGG
RNAcentral lists this non-coding RNA (21 nucleotides) under Arabidopsis thaliana (thale cress). The record is from RNAcentral. Lineage: Eukaryota; Viridiplantae; Streptophyta; Magnoliopsida; Brassicales; Brassicaceae.